CAGCAGCCGCGGUAAUACGUAGGUGGCAAGCGUUGUCCGGAAUUAUUGGGCGUAAAGCGCGCGCAGGCGGAUAGGUCAGUCUGUCUUAAAAGUUCGGGGCUCAACCCCGUGAUGGGAUGGAAACUGCUGAUCUAGAGUAUCGGAGAGGAAAGUGGAAUUCCUAGUGUAGCGGUGAAAUGCGUAGAGAUUAGGAGGAACACCAGUGGCGAAGGCGGCUUUUUGGCCUGUAACUGACACUGAGGCGCGAAAGCGUGGGGAGCAAACAGGAUUAGAUACCCCCGUAGUCCCUGUCUCUUAUACC
This 301-nucleotide ribosomal RNA is filed under the name uncultured bacterium. RNAcentral's name for it is "partial 16S ribosomal RNA". It matches the Rfam family "Bacterial small subunit ribosomal RNA", at positions 509 to 808 of the family's 1533-position model. The record is from RNAcentral.